AUUGAACGCUGGCGGCAGGCUUAACACAUGCAAGUCGAGCGAGCGGCGGACGGGUGCGUAAUGUCUGGGAAACUGCCUGAUGGAGGGGGAUAACUCCUUGACACGGUAGCUAAUACCGCAUACCAUCAGAUGUGCCCAGAUGGGAUUAGCUAGUAGGUGGGGUAAUGGCUCACCUAGGCGACGAUCCCUAGCUGGUCUGAGAGGAUGACCAGCCACACUGGAACGUAGACACGGUCCAGAAACCUGCGGGAGGGAGCGGUGGGGAAUAUUGGACAAUGGGGGAAAGCCUGAUGCAGCCAUGCCGGGUGUGUGAAGAAGGCCUUCGGGUUGUAAAGCACUUUCAGCGAGGAGGCGUUACUCGCAGGAGAAGCAGCGGCUAACGCCGUGCCAGCCGCCGCGGUAAUUC
Molecule: ribosomal RNA, 406 nt
Filed under: uncultured bacterium
Lineage: Bacteria
Description: partial 16S ribosomal RNA
Rfam family: Bacterial small subunit ribosomal RNA
Source: RNAcentral